GAUGAAGAACGUAGCGAAAUGCGAUACGUAAUGUGAAUUGCAGAAUUCAGUGAAUCAUCGAAUCUUUGAACGCACAUUGCGCCUGCCAGCACUCUGGCAGGCAUGCCUGUUCGAGCGUCAUUUCAACCAUCAAGCCCUAGGCUUGCGUUGGAGCCCUGCGGCUGCCGCAGGCCCCUAAAAGCAGUGGCGGGCUCGCUAUCACACCGAGUGCAGUAGAUUACUCUUCGCUCAGGGCGUGUGGCGGGUUCCAGCCGUGAAACCCCCUGCUUCUCAAGGUUGACCUCGGAUCAGGUAGGAAUACCCGCUGAACUUAAGCAUAUCAAUAAGCGGAGGA
This 334-nucleotide unclassified non-coding RNA is filed under the name soil metagenome. RNAcentral's name for it is "partial contains 5.8S ribosomal RNA, internal transcribed spacer 2, and large subunit ribosomal RNA". The stretch from base 1 to 120 matches the Rfam family "5.8S ribosomal RNA", at positions 35 to 154 of the family's 154-position model. The record is from RNAcentral.